CCCUUAGCUCAGUUGGAUAGAGCAACGGCCUUCUAAGCCGUGGGUCGCAGGUUCGAAUCCUGCAGGG
RNAcentral lists this transfer RNA (67 nucleotides) under Salmonella enterica. RNAcentral's name for it is "tRNA-Arg". It matches the Rfam family "tRNA". From Rfam's summary of the family: Transfer RNA (tRNA) molecules are approximately 80 nucleotides in length. Their secondary structure includes four short double-helical elements and three loops (D, anti-codon, and T loops). The record is from RNAcentral. Lineage: Bacteria; Pseudomonadati; Pseudomonadota; Gammaproteobacteria; Enterobacterales; Enterobacteriaceae.